CCAAUGCGAACAUCAUUUCAUUGCUAUUCAAUUGUUCCUAGAGUGGCACACAGCAGACGACAUGUCGAUCCCGCUCUAGGGUAUCCCAGAGCUGCAGAAUCUUUUGCUGAUAAAAGGAUAACAUGAUUGGCCGUGAUUGGAGUCAAUGAUUAAUAUCUCCAAGUCGGGCGCUUAGCUCGCAUGUCAAAUGUCUCUCUAUUUGGCUCCGCCAUUCUCAUCCGAGGGACAAUCCCAAGCGCGUUGAAUGGUAUUCAUCAAGUUAGUUGGUUCUAAACGGUGUGAGGCGCCAAUUCGCUAACGGCAACAUCGUCGGCCAGGCGGGAAUUCAGG
RNAcentral lists this small RNA (330 nucleotides) under Histoplasma capsulatum var. duboisii H88. RNAcentral's name for it is "Histoplasma capsulatum H88 hypothetical RNA". Lineage: Eukaryota; Fungi; Ascomycota; Eurotiomycetes; Onygenales; Ajellomycetaceae. The record is from RNAcentral.